UUCCAUCUUUGCCUUAUAAAUGAAACAUUUGCUGGUGCUAAUUAUGUGAGCUGAGAAAAGGCAACUCAAGUGAGCACAAAUUGCUGGGGGGUGUUAUUCAAACAGUUCCCAGUAUUUCUCUAUAAAACAUUGGUCUCUUACAUUUCGAGUGGUUGAAGACGAGCAAAAGAGGGAGGACAACAUGGCAGGUUUAAAACGGUACAUGAAAGGAAUUAAGAUGCGACAAAAUGAAGCUUAGCUUCAUACGGACACCGACCUCGUCAUGACACCUUCAUCAAGUGCAACGACUCCAGGAAGCUCCUUUCCUUCCAACAACUCCAAGCUGGCGCCACCACCAGUUGAGAUGUGGCUCAUAACAUCAGC
Molecule: long non-coding RNA, 363 nt
Filed under: Triticum aestivum (bread wheat)
Lineage: Eukaryota; Viridiplantae; Streptophyta; Magnoliopsida; Poales; Poaceae
Description: long non-coding RNA (TAES_LNC019604)
Source: RNAcentral